CCUGGGCUCUCUGGUGUCCUCGUAGUCUUCCACUGUGAUGGAUACCUGCGACUGAUAUGUAAUCACAUCCUCAUUUAUACUCUCUGCCCACAUGAGAUAAAACUUUUGUCUUCCUUCCGUUUCAUUCCCGAUGCAGGGAUGGUCUCUGCUUGUGUGGGUUUACAGGGCCGAUGCAGCUUGAUUACCGUAUUGGCCCGAAUAUAAGACGGCCCUGAUUAUAAGACGACCCCCUCUUUUUCAAGCCUCAAGUUUGAAAAAAGACCAAAUUAAUUUUGAUACAGAAAAUAAUGACAGUACAUCUGAAACAAAUGAUUAGAACAAUAUAUUUGAGAGAAAAAGCAUGUUAUUUUGCCUCAUUCAAAUCUUAAUAUCUGAACAUUUAAAUAUGUAAACUAAAGUGUAAAUUACACCAUAACUUCUCAGCUGCCGGUUGACCUGGCCGAUCUUCGACCCACUUUUUUUCCAGAUUGUCGCUACGUUUCUCCAUUUUCUGUUAUCUCUUCUAUUAUUUUUAAUACUGCUUCUUACUGCUAUUUUUAAUUUUUCUUCUACAUGCUACCGCUAUUUUUAUUUUUAUUCUUCGUGACAGGGGUUGGCCUGGGGAGUUGAGUUCAGCAUUCGCUUCAAUGAUAUCUGGCGCCAUCUCGCCUCAUAAAUGGGUAUAAUGUAUAGACCUCGAAUAUAAGACGAACCCCAGUUUUUCAGUCUUAUUUCAAUGCAAAAAAGACAGUCUUUUAUUCGGGCCUAUACAGUAUAACACAAUAUUGUUCACGAUUGCACCACAGUGACAGCUGACCUCUGAAACCGGCAGCUUGUGCGCUUCUGUUCUGUAGAUGCCGAUAGGAAUGUCCCCUGUGGAGGAGCACAGCUUCUGGUAGAGCCUGCCGCAGCGAUCAAGUUGCAGUUGCUCUUACAGCGCACAGGAACCCCGAACCGGGCAUAGAGUCGAGGCCCAGCAGCAGCCUGGUGAUGGAGAUCAUGUAAUCCUUGACGAACGACUGUCCAAAGUGAGAAGUGUGUCUAGCAUGCUAACACUGAACACUUUGCCUGCUGCGAAGGGCAGGCGGAACAUAAACACCAGGUUGGAUCCUCUCUCCCUUUCCUUCUGCGGUGACUCACUUGGCCCGCAUCAGGUCCUGGUCUUUGAGAGCGGAGCCCUGCAGGUAGAUGACUCUCUGGGCCCACAGAGGAACAUGAAGUACUCUUCUAACCUGGACAUCCAUUUCUGCCGGGCACAAGAUCACCACGUAGUAAUCCUGCUUACACAUACACACACAUAUACAAACCUUUCACACAGAAUUCAUCUCAUUCUUGACCAUGUCAAGAGCAAACCAGUCGUCAGAUUUACAUCACAAUUUCAUUGAAAACAGGAAUAAUAAGAGUUCAUCUUGUCGGUCUUCCUUUAACUUGUGCCGGACUUGUAUGGACGUGCAAUUUUUGGAGGGCUGAAAUCGAGAGAUGUUUUGAUCAUUGUCAGAACCUAGAUUAUUAUAGUUAACUA
This is a long non-coding RNA of Hippocampus zosterae (dwarf seahorse), 1501 nucleotides long. RefSeq lists it as uncharacterized. The transcript is spliced from 4 exons. The record is from RefSeq and is a predicted model, not a curated record. NCBI's taxonomy places the organism in Eukaryota, Metazoa, Chordata, Actinopteri, Syngnathiformes, Syngnathidae.